Molecule: ribosomal RNA, 588 nt
Filed under: Triticum aestivum (bread wheat)
Lineage: Eukaryota; Viridiplantae; Streptophyta; Magnoliopsida; Poales; Poaceae
Description: partial small subunit ribosomal RNA
Source: RNAcentral
AUGAGCUUCUAUAGCCUCCAUGAGACGCUCCACCAGGAGGUGGCCAAAUAUCAGUCCAGGUUCUUCUGGGCUGGCGAGGGGGACAAGCAAAAAUACCAUAUGAUGAGCUGGCCUGACAUUUGCAAACCCAAGGACCAGGGAGGUCUGGGGAUCUUGUCUUCCCGUCGCAUGAACAUUGCUCUCCUGACCCGAUGGCUAUGGCGUAUCGCCAACGGGGAGGGUGGCCUCUGGCUUACCAUCAUCCAGAAUAAGUAUCUCCGGGGCCAACCUCUAGCUUUCUGCCAGCGCUCUGGGGGAUCCCAGUUCUGGCAAGCUGUGAUUCAGCUCCUUCCCGUGCUACGAAUUGGCAUGUCCAUCUCUGUGGGUUCCGGGUCCUCGACCCUGUUUUGGUUCGACCGCUGGCUUGGGGAUUCCCCUCUGGCCGCCCGCUUCCCGGGCUUAUUUGCCAUUGCGGCUGACCCCCGGAUUUCCGUUGAGAGGGCCCUUAUUGACUUAGGGCGUCAACCUUUCGGCGCCCCUUUGGCCCCCAGAAGGUUGACGCGUGGGACGCCCUUCUACAGGACAUCGCUCUCUUGCCGAUGGAUGUAG